Molecule: ribosomal RNA, 393 nt
Filed under: uncultured bacterium
Lineage: Bacteria
Description: bacterial SSU rRNA
Rfam family: Bacterial small subunit ribosomal RNA
Source: RNAcentral
AUUGAACGCUGGCGGCAUGCUUUACACAUGCAAGUCGAACGGGGUGAGGAGCUUGCUCCUCAUCUAGUGGCGAACGGGUGAGUAAUACAUCGGAACGUACCGUGUAGUGGGGGAUAACGUAGCGAAAGUUACGCUAAUACCGCAUACGAUCCACGGAUGAAAGCAGGGGACCUUCGGGCCUUGUGCUAUACGAGCGGCCGAUGUCUGAUUAGCUAGUUGGUGGGGUAAAGGCCCACCAAGGCAACGAUCAGUAGCGGGUCUGAGAGGAUGAUCCGCCACACUGGGACUGAGACACGGCCCAGACUCCUACGGGAGGCAGCAGUGGGGAAUUUUGGACAAUGGGCGCAAGCCUGAUCCAGCCAUGCCGCGUGUCUGAAGAAGGCCUGGUUGUAA